UGUCAGCUUUUGACUUAAGUCUGUUAAAAGUUGCUGUUAGGUAAAUAAAGGACCCACAAAAAAGACGAUAAAAAAAGUCUCUCAGGAAUCAUGCAGGCAACUUACCCAUUCUAUUCAGGAUUGCAGAAUAUGAUGCAACAUGGCAUAGGAAAUAAGGGAAAAACAAGGUUCCUCAAGCCAUAGACACAUCUGACCACCAGUAACAAAAAGUAUGUUACUAUCUCAGAGGAAAUACUAGAUUAUAUAAAUACAACCCUCUGCAGAGAUACCACUGUUUUGUCUCUGGUCAACUAUGUUAAAAUUAAUAGUAAUGAAAGAGCUACUUUAUCACCACUCACCAGUGUGAAUUAUUAAGCCUGUAAAGUAAAAUGGUGUAGCAGGCAAAUGGAGCAAUAUAAAAUAGGAACUGGGUCAAGUUACUUACACUUCUUCCAUUAUGUUUCCUGUUGAUACUAACAACAAAAUAAAAACCAUCUGAAUACUCUUGGUAUUAGUGAAUAUUAAAGAAGUUAAAAUUCAGAGAUGACUGAAGAAAAUUGGUACCAUAUCUAUGCAAAAACUGCCAGGAAUUAAAAAAAUGUCUUCCAAAUAGCAGGUCCUAAUGGGGCAAUUGCCUUGGAUAGGUAGCUCUUAUUUCUAAAAGUAAUAAUAAUAAUAAAUUGCCUUGAAUCAACUCUAUACUGAGCAGCAAAGUAGCAAAACGAGUAUAACUUGCCUUCAAACCCCUGAAUAUCACCCUUAAUUGCACUGGCACAGGUUGCCCAAAGAAGUGGUAAAUGCUCCAGCCCUGGCAGUGUUCAAGGUCAGGUUGGACAGAGCCUGGGGCGACAUGGCCUAACGUGAGGCGUCCCUGCCCAUGGCAGGGGGGUUGGGACUAGAUGAUGUUAAGGUCCUUUCCAACCCUAACCGUUCUAUGAUUCUAUGACUUCCAUUAAAUUCACAAAACUAUCUUUUGAUAUGAAAUCCUGUAGCAUAAGUAGUCAGACUACAAUCCUUUUAUUUCAGGAGUGUGAUUUGUGAACUGUUUUGACAGAGCAGAUUUUUUGUUUAAAAUGAUGCUGUCCUUAUGAGAGGAAGUUCAACUUUACUUACUGCUGAAGUAAAUGGCAGCAAUUUCACUAACAUUAUGAUUCAAAAUUCACAUGAAUUUUAAUGGUCUUUUUGCAUAUCAACAUCCAGUGUGCUUAACAAACAUUUGGCAAUGUGUACAUAAUCGUUCCUCCCAGAUAACUCGUAUUCCUCUUGAAGGCUUGCCACUCCCACCCCACACCCCAUUCUCCAUUUUGAUGCAACACAAAGGUUUUGGACCUGGAAUGUAGUGACUUUUCUUAAAUUUUGGUUUGUUUUUUUUUAUUUUGUUACUCUCUUUCCUCAAAUGCCUAAGCAACAUUUUUCACUUUCUACUUUCAGGUCCCGAUGGUUGUGAAUAUUAGUGCGGAGUUAUUAUUCAAAUAUACAAGCUACAGAUAGCACAUACAGCCAGAUUUCAGGCAGCCGUCAGGGUUUCACUAAACAAAGCCAGUGACCACUUUUAUAGAUGAAUAUGCUGCAACUGAUGUUAACAAUUUUGCUUAUAACAAAACUGAAUCAAAGAAAUUUUUGUUAGUUUCUCUGUAAGAAACUAUUUUUAUAUUCACAGAGAGGAAUAUAAAGGGAAUUUUUAAAUAACUAUUUUCAGAGGUGGCAUAUCAAUUUUAACAAGGCUCUCUGGAUUUUUUUUGGGGGGGUGGGUGCUUUUCUGAUAUUUGUGCAUUUAUAUAUUGAAAGUGUUUGCAAUAUAGACCUUUUUGAUCACAUUUUGCAAAAGCAUUGCUAUGUAAUUUCAACGUAAUUUGCAUGUUGUUAUUUUGCAGUUCAGAUUUUUCUUGUCAUCUACCUCUCAGUUGAAGUUUGGAGACUUGCGCAACCCUGGAAAAAUACAGUUAACAUAAAGCAUAAUGAUAAAACCUGUACAGACUAUUAGAAACUCUUGCAAAUCUUUGAAGCCACUUCCAGUUCUAUUUUUAAGGCAGUGCAUAUUUAUCACCAAAUUUUUUCUAUCAAUUGACAUAGUUUUAUUAAGUCUAUAGACUUAACCCAUAGCGGUCUAGUUUUUUACAUCAUUGAUCUGGUAUAAAAACUCAAUGUACCAAAGUCUAUCGUGAGAUGCUGACCCUCCUCUUUUUUGGGUUUUUUUGUUUCGUUUGGUUUUGUUUGUUUGUUUGUGGUUUUAAUUUUUUUUUGUUGUUGUUAUUGUUUUUUGGUUUUGUCUUCCCAUUUCUGAGUUAGAGGAAUUAAAUGGAAACUUUAAAUAGUUAAUACAUCCAAAUGGUUUUUAAAAGUAUUACAGAACACCUUGCAUUUUGCAUCCCUGAAAAAAGUAUUUCUUUAGUUUUGAAAUAAUACAGACAUGUAGCUUGCUUUGAGGUAGUUGAGGGAGAUGGCCAGAAAAUGUUGGAUUGGGGCCAAUGAAUAAUGAUUGUUCUUCUUAUGUUCUUUACAAAACCAGACAUGAUUGUUUCUUUCAAAAUAUUAUUCUUUUUAGUCUGCAAACCAUUCUUGCCUUCUAGGACCUAGGACAAAGUCCACCGAAGCCAGCAUAAAAAAACACCAUCAAAGAGCUUUAUUGGACAUUGGAGGUGAUGUGGCUCCAGUGGGGGCUUCAGCCUUAUUUUCUCCCUAUCAAAUCUCAGGAGUAACGUAUAUAAAACAGAAAAUGCAGGUUUUGUUGCAACUGGCAAAUUUAGCUAUGCCUGCAUAAUAUUCCGAAUGAAUCAGUCCUUAAUUUAAAGCACAAUAUGUAUUGUUUUAACAGUCUAUGUAAAUAAUAAAAAAAAAAAAA
This 2821-nucleotide long non-coding RNA is filed under the name Strigops habroptila (Kakapo). Its description in RNAcentral is "lncRNA (ENSSHBG00005016367.1)". Lineage: Eukaryota; Metazoa; Chordata; Aves; Psittaciformes; Psittacidae. The record is from RNAcentral.